UCAGAUCCAAAGAAGAAGUUUGUUUACCGUGAACACCUGUUGACGUCACGGACUGAUUAGCUCUCAACCGCGAAAAAACGUAGUAGGGUGUCGGACGCUUUGAGGAUUCUAACUGCUAAACGUGUUUGAGGAUUUUAUGAUGCCAGACUGGAGGAAGAGGAGGAAAAAAGAGGACUGUUUGACCGAGCUGCAUCAGUAUUGUGGUGUUCAUGUCUUUCUGCCAGGCAGUCGUGUCUCUCACAGCAGGCAGCAUCUGAUUUCCCAUCAUGCCGUGCUUGUGGACAAGAUGCAGCGUCACCUCCGGCUGUCCUCCCUGUUACCUCUGACACCCUGACCCUUCACACACACUCACUUCGCGCACACACACACUAGUCAUUUUACCUCACAUCAGCCGACUUGCCAAAAGUUCUGGUGGAGAAGGCAACACUUUAAAUAAUCUUAACAUUUACAAACUGGGAUUUUUUGUCACAUUUAUGAUUAAAUCUUAUCAGAAUAAAUGAGGUAAGUGCUUUAAUACAGUGCUGCAUCAUGAAAGCUUGUCAGAACGACUUAGGAAAGGUUGAUUCAAACUCCAUUUAAGAAAACAAGCAUUUAAAAGUAGUGGUCUUCUGCUAAAUGAUGAAUUCAGACUUUCUUGUUUUCAUUCCUGUUGCUCUUGGAGAAUUGGAUG
Molecule: long non-coding RNA, 670 nt
Organism: Notolabrus celidotus (New Zealand spotty)
Lineage: Eukaryota; Metazoa; Chordata; Actinopteri; Labriformes; Labridae
Exons: 3
Source: RefSeq, a predicted model, not a curated record